This 300-nucleotide long non-coding RNA is filed under the name Apteryx owenii (little spotted kiwi). RNAcentral describes it as "lncRNA (ENSAOWG00000001640.1)". Lineage: Eukaryota; Metazoa; Chordata; Aves; Apterygiformes; Apterygidae. The record is from RNAcentral.
UGUACAUAAGUUAAAAUAUUGGCUAUUUAUUCUUCAGCUAAACUUGUAUUUAUAUAUAUUGUUUUAGACCUAUCCCCUUGAACUUCUUUGCAAGACUUGAAAGACAAAGUGGCAGAAGAACACUUUCGGACUUCCAAAUUAAAAGUUGUCUACGAAGUUGGUGUCUGAGCUGCGAGAUGGUUAGUGAUCCUGGGAAUGGGAAAGAAAAGUUCAGGAUGCAGCUGCCUUCUCUUCUGAGUCUACUGAAAGUGCUCUCCAAGCAAUGCGGAAAUUCUCUCUGAUGCAUCUUCCAAAACCUGC